CCCUAGGGUUGAUGCCGCGUAGGACCCUCGGCUUACUGCGUCCUGGGCACUGCGGCGCGUGCUUCGCAUACAGGAUCAUGAAUCCCCACGAGAACCAGCAGAGAAGGAACCUCUGUUUUUGUUCGGGAACCUGCCAGCUGUGGACUCACAGGAUGGAUGAGUCUUCCUGACAGUCAGCUUGAUAAUGGUGUGGAGGAGCACACUGGAUAGUAAGAGCACAGGCUCCGGACGCACAGGCUCAGCGGCCAUGGCUCAUGGGCCCAGCCGCUCCGCGGCAUGUGGGAUCUUCCCGGACCGGGGCACGAACCCAUGUCCCCUGCAUCGGCAGGCGGACUCUCAACCACUGCGCCACCAGGGAAGCCCUGCAAUGCUGUUUUUAGUGCACACUAAGAAUCUUGGCACCCCUUAGCUGACACCCACCUACAACAACUUGCAGCUUCUCUUUUCCUAGUUCCAUGACUCCCUGGCCAUGCUGCUCCCUCUGAGACCUUCUUCUUAGCCCCCAGAUCAUUUGUAGAAGUAUAUCCAGAAGAUGGACCCCGAAGGCAACUGUGGAGGCAGGAUUGCAUUUCUGUGUAAUCUGCUUGGGACUGCCAAGACCUUUGCUUUGAGCAAGAAGAGAGAUGGGUCAGGUUCCUGCCCUCCUCCCUCUACACUCUUUCCCAAGGAGAGAGUCCGCGGUUUGGGCUAUGUCUUCUAAGAGGCUGACUCAGAGUGUCUACCUUCAGCCCCGGUGUCCAUCCUCUGCUCCAUCUCCAAGUGUCCAUCAGAUAUUCAUCUGAGCAACGGAGACUCAGUGUGACUGAUGACAUAUCCAUCUUCUUGACCACGAACCAGCUCCCUCUGGGCACCCAGCUGUUCUAGUGAAUGACUCCAGCAUUCUUCCAGACAUGCCAGCUUGAAGCCGCUGAGUCAUACCUCACAUGUCCCUCUGUUGCAUUUCCCACAGCUGAUCAGUUAUCCAGUGGUUCCAAGUUAUUCCCCCAACCAGUCCUUUCCCACCCCCAUUCCUGCUGCACCCCUCCCCUGGUCAGGCUGCCAUCUACUCCAAUUUGGAGUGGCCUCCCUGCCUCCAGCCUCCCCCUUCACGACCAGCCAGGCCACCGUCCUUGUGCUCAUUGCUGUCCCUCAGCCGCUGCCCCCAGCUGCUCUCUCCAUCCACAGCACCCUCUCCUCUCCUCCACAAACUCUGUUCCAACCUAACUGGUCCCCUCGUGGUUCCCAGGACACUGCACCUUCCUGCUACCUGACCUUGGCUGAAGUGGUUUCCCUUGCCUAGAAUCCUUUUCUCCAUUCCAAGCUUUUACCUAAAUUCUAGCCAUCUUUCACGGUAUAUAAAAUCCCUGGCUGAGAUGUUAUAAGGCACGGGCGCCUAGAGCCCGUGCUCUGCAACAAGAGAAGCCACCGCGAUGAGAAGCCCCCGCUCACCACAACUAUAGAAAGCCCACGAGCAGCAACGAAGACCCAACGCAGCCAAAAAUAAAUAAAUAAAUUUUAAAAAUUAAAAAAAGAAAACAAACGUGAUGAGAAGGUGGGAAAAGUGGGGGAAGGGAGCUAAGUUGCUAGCAGUUUGCUAGAGAUGGAGGAUUUAGUUCACCUUUGGGGCAGACUUUUGCUUUGUUUCGGGAAAAUCAACACCAAUCUAAAACUGUGUUAUCACUGUCAGCGCGAAUGCAUAUGUUCACUGUUCUGGUUCAGCAAUGUAAAUAGCCGUGCCUUGGGAGACAGGGACUGCCUUUUCUCUCCUUUUUUUCCUAAGGUUUGAGGAAAAGAGUUGUGGAGGAAGUUGUGGACUGGUCCCUGUGGGGGUGACUAUUUUCAGCUGAAGUUUGGAGAGUCGCUUGCAAGAGAUGGCAAGCAAAGACUAGCAGGCUUCCUGAGGAGGCUGGAGAGUCCCUGGCACUGCUGCUGUGGGACCCAGGUGACACUUCUUGACACAGAGCUGGGGAGAAGCACACUCUAUCCGUGUCUGCAGCAUCCCUCUAGAACACUGGGGGCAUCCGAGGAGGCAGCAGCCACGGAUGCUUGAGGACUCCACAAGGACCAUCUCCAGCAGAAGCUCUCCUUUCAUGGGCCUCCGUAAGCCCCGCACGGUGACUGCUGUGGAUAGAUGGAUUUGUGACAUCAUUUGAGAUGCCCCACUGGGAGCUCCCAGAAGUAUUUGAGGGAAAUAUUGCAUGGAGUGCGGCUCAGUGUCAUUGUAACUCACUGUUAAAGUAGCAACAAAUCAUUUAUACCCUUGGCAGGUGAAAACUAAAUACACUAGAGAUAGACAUAAAACCAUACUACACUGUUAACCAUUGUUGCCUCUGGGUGCCAGUAUUCUAGAGAAUUCCUUUUCUUUAUAUUUUUAUGGAACUCUCCACAUUUUCCACUACAAGCAUUUGUAAUUAGAAAAACAAAAGCUAUGAAUAAGGAAUAUCUCUUUCCUUCCCCUUCCGGGCCCAGUGGAAGCCUCUGCUGCCUAAGGCUGCUGUGGUUUCUUCCCCUGCUGAACCCAGGCAGUGACUCUUGGGUGCAGAUCCGGGUUUAUUCCUUGUUUUAGGUACUUGUGCCAGCUCUGCAAGCUCCUUCAGGAGAAGGAACACAUCUCCUUCUACUCAGCCCUCCCCCAUCACUCACUCUGCUUGCAGGAGCUACUUCUCAGAACCUGCCUGGCCUGCUUCCACCCUUGGCCUUCAUACUCACUGUUCCAUCUGCCGGCACCCCCUCCUCCCUGGUCCCCCCCAGACAGCUUGUGGGCUUCCUGCUUCUCACCUUCAGUUUUGACUCAAAUGUCUCAACGAGCAGGCCAUUUAAAAUUGCACACCCUCCCAGCACUCUUUCCCCCUCUCCUGCUUCAUUUCUCCCUCCAACAUAGAUCUCCAUCUGACAUGCUAUGUAAUGUGCUUCUUUAUUAUGUCUCCUCGCACCGAUCUGUAAGCUCUAGACGACAAGGAUUUUUGUCUGUAUUGUUCUCUGCUGUAAGCUCACUACCAGGAUGUAUGCCUGGUAUGUACAGAAGAUAAGUGUUUGUUGAAUGAGUGAAUACAGUUUAUAAUAACACUAGUUACCGUGUACCAGAUCCUGUGCUAGGUGCUUAGUAAUUCCCUCAUUCCGUCGUCUUCACAGUGUUUUGAGGUACACAGCAAUACCUCUGUUGGAAAGACGAGGAAACCAAAGCUCAGAGGGUUAGCGAACUCAGGUGGAGGCACACACUCUCCCAUGGCAGAGCGGUGUGGAACGCAGAUCUGGCUGCCCCAGGGGCCAGGAGCUUUCCAGUGUAGGAGACUCCUUUGUCCUCAUGGUGGUCUCUCACUGUGCUGACACCCCUCUGCGUCUUGGGCACCAUUUAUUUCUCCCGCUGCAGGAACCACAGUGCUGGUGCCCUGAGCCAGCAUUGCUCCAAGUGGGCUCCUCUCCCAGUUUGCAUCCCUUCUGGUGACCCAAACCCUGCAAUCAGAGAAGCCAAAUUGUUCCUUCCCUGCCUCACUGCCUCUACUGUGGGCGCUCUAGGUUAUGGUAUAAAUGAGCAGGCCCACAGGUUUUCUUUCUUUCUCCUGCAGCCCCAUUCUCCCAAAGGGAGGUUGGUUGCUCCCUGAGAACCUUCUGCAGACCGGCAAGGUGGAAUUACAGCAAGAACCCAGGAGAUUCGGGUUCAUGCUCAGGAUCUGCGGCUCACUAGCUAUGCCAUGACUUUGGGCAAGUCUUUUAACUUGUGCAUUGACACAAUGAAAGGAAUUCUUCUUUCUUUGUGGUUUGCCUACAGUACUGUGAUGAUGGCAAAUGGAGAAUCUGUCUCAUGGGGGUGUUGUGUAGAUGCAUGAGCCAAUUUGAUUAUCAUACUUAGCACCGUGCCUGACAGAUAAGGCUUAAUAAUUGUUGGCUGAUCUUGUCAUCAGUCAUGAGUAGCCCGGGAACUGGCAGGGUUUGCAGUCAGCUGGUAGGAUGUGUCGUGGGUGUGGAUUGUAGCUAACCACUAACUCCAAUCACCCUCCAAUCUAAACUUUCCUAGAGCUUCAGUCCUCAGAGUUUAGAAUUCCUUGUUCAAGGUCACAUAGUCAUGACUUUUAUAAGGCCUUGAUUGGGACGCUUUUCAGAAUACCUAACCUCUUUAGUCAGUACACUAUAUUUCUGCUGGGAGGUAAUUGUUGCCAUCUCUGCUGGGUUACACAACUUGAGGAAUGAUUUGCACAAGCAUCAGUUACCACCAAGACCAAGGCAUGAGGCAUAAUUAUCUCAGGUGGAAGCUGUGAUUGAGCCUGUGCACUGAGGCCUGGUUUGCAGGGGCUACAAAUGAGCUACCACCUCCAGAGCGCUAUGUGCCUGCUAGAUGCUGGGGCUGUAAUUAACCGGAGCCUGUUUGCCAACACCCAUUCUCCAAGUUCCAGUGGGUCAAAAGUCCCGACUCUGGUGAACGUCAAGAUCCCUGCAGAGGGACUUCCCUGGUGGCGCAGAGGGAUUUCCCUGGUGGCGCAGUGGUUAAGAAUCCGUCUGCCCAUGCAGGGGACACAGGUUUGAGCCCUGGUCGGGAAGAUCCCACAUGCCUCAGAGCAACUAAGCCCUUGUGCGACAACUACUGAGCCUGCGCUCUAGAGCCCACGAACCACAACUACUGAAGCCCGUGCGCCUAGAGCCCGUGCUCCGCAAUGAGAAGCCACCUCAAUGAGAAGCCCACGCACCGCAACGAAGAGUAGCCCCGGCUCGCCACAACUAGAGAAAGCCUGUGCGCAGCUACGAAGACCCAAUGCAGCCAAGAAAAGAAAAAGAAAAAUCCCUGCAGUGUCUGUGGCUGAAUAGAGUGAGACCUUCCCAUUGUCUAAGGCUUCAUUUAUAGUUUUCAAGGGAAUUCCCUUUACUGGCUUUGCUAUCUAGUUGUGGUAUAGUACGUAUGAUUUGGAGUAAUCCAUCUGCCAUCAGUCCCCCGACAUCUCCUUGCUCUCCCACCCACAUGGUUUCACCCAGGAAGAUCUAGUUCUGUUUGUGCCUGAAGGGGAAGGAGACCAGGGAUCCAGGCCUUCCUUUUCUGUCAUGUGAAUGACCAUAAGCAACAGGAGAAUUCAUCUCUUGCCCUCACCAUGGCCAAUGUCUGCUCUACCCAUGGGCCCAGAGGCCACACUUUCAGUACUUCUGAGAAGUUGAUGAUGGCAUCUAUGAAAUGGGAGGUCUUUCAUCCUGAGGCAAGGGUACAAGUUCUGCCAGCCCUUUGUACCGUCUGGAAACAAUGCUGGGAAUCAUAUUUGCAGGUCCAGAAAUGUUAUUUGAUUGUUCCAUGGCAUGAAAGACUUAAUUUGAGGCUUAGUGGAGAGAGCAGACUAAAGAAGAUUUAGGAAACAUGGCCCACAAGGGCAAAAAGUGCUGAGUUUGAGUAAAAAUACACAUUCUACACGUAGUCAGCACUCUGACAACACUGGGGGUGGGCAGAGCUGGGACCAACGUUCACAGAUAAUUCUCCAACUUUAUUUUACCCUCCCACAGGCCAGGGUCUUGUCAUAAUUACCUUGCUUAUACAACCCUUGUUUGCAUCUCCAGAGAGACAGCCAUGUUUGGAAGAAAGAACACGAGUCCCCAAGUCUGAAAGGAGUCCCAAGAAGAAGGAAAUGUAAGAGAGUGAAAAG
Long non-coding RNA from Globicephala melas (long-finned pilot whale), 5597 nucleotides. RefSeq lists it as uncharacterized. Lineage: Eukaryota; Metazoa; Chordata; Mammalia; Artiodactyla; Delphinidae. The record is from RefSeq and is a predicted model, not a curated record.